Molecule: ribosomal RNA, 386 nt
Filed under: uncultured bacterium
Lineage: Bacteria
Description: bacterial SSU rRNA
Rfam family: Bacterial small subunit ribosomal RNA
Source: RNAcentral
GACGAACGCUGGCGGCGUGCUUAACACAUGCAAGUCGAGCGGAAAGGCCCUUCGGGGUACUCGAGCGGCGAACGGGUGAGUAACACGUGGGUAACCUGCCCUUCACUCUGGGAUAACUCCGGGAAACCGGGGCUAAUACCGGGUACGACCACUUUAGGCAUCUUCGGUGGUGGAAAGUUUUUCGGUGGAGGAUGGACCCGCGGCCUAUCAGCUUGUUGGUGGGGGUAAUGGCCUACCAAGGCAGUGACGGGUAGCCGGCCUGAGAGGGCGACCGGCCACACUGGGACUGAGACACGGCCCAGACUCCUACGGGAGGCAGCAGUGGGGAAUAUUGCGCAAUGGGCGGAAGCCUGACGCAGCGACGCCGCGUGAGGGAUGACGGCCUU